This 443-nucleotide ribosomal RNA is filed under the name uncultured bacterium. Its description in RNAcentral is "partial 16S ribosomal RNA". It matches the Rfam family "Bacterial small subunit ribosomal RNA", at positions 338 to 795 of the family's 1533-position model. The record is from RNAcentral.
CCUACGGGAGGCAGCAGUGGGGAAUAUUGGGCAAUGGAGGCAACUCUGACCCAGCAAUGCCGCGUGAGUGAAGACGGUCUUCGGAUUGUAAAGUUCUUUAAUCAGGGACGCAGGCGAUCACGGUACCUGACGAAUAAGCCACGGCCAACUAAGUGCCAUCAGCCGCGUUAAUGCCUGGGUGGCAAGCGUUUUCCGGAAUGACUGGGCGUACAGGGAGCGUAGGCGGUCUGUUAAGUUUGAAGGGAAAUCCCGGGGCUCAACCCCGGAACUGCUUUCAAGACUGACGGACUUGAGUGUAAGAGGGGUAAGCGGAAUUCGUAGUGUAGCGGUGGAAUGCGUAGAUAUCAGGAGGAACACCAGUGGCGAAGGCGGCUUACUGGAGUAUAACUGACGCUGAGGCUCGAAAGCGUGGGUAGCAAACAGGAUUAGAUACCCGUGUAGUC